Long non-coding RNA from Branchiostoma floridae (Florida lancelet), 2520 nucleotides. RefSeq lists it as uncharacterized. The record is from RefSeq and is a predicted model, not a curated record. Lineage: Eukaryota; Metazoa; Chordata; Leptocardii; Amphioxiformes; Branchiostomatidae. The transcript has 2 exons.
UCCUGUUGUCGUACGUAAUUCUUCAAGAUGGGAGACGCAAACCAAGCCCUCGCCUUGUCCGGCAAGAGCAAUUGGAAGGUGGAUAUGUUCAGCUGUUUCGACAACAUCGGUCUGUGCGCGCUCACCUUCUGCUGCCCGUGUGUGACGGCGGGCAAGAACGCCGAGGCCGCCGGGGAAGACUGCCUCAAGUUCGGCUUCUAUUCCGUCCUCGGCCCGGUCGGGAUGUACAGCAUGGCGUACACGCGUACGAAGAUCGCCGCGAAGGAGGGCCUGCCCGCCGACUUCGUGACCAACCUACUGAUCUACGGCACCGUUCCGUGCUGUGCGCUCAUGCAGGAGGCACAACAGAUGGAGAGCGUCAAGGUGCCACAACCUACGGCCCAAGAGGAGAUGACCAGGGAAUAGGUGUGACAACAAGAUGGUGAGGACAGCUCAACUUUACUUUAGAACAAUGUAACAAGCACUACGCGACUGCGAGGGAGGGGGGUAAUUAAUCGAAAGCUGUGAGAUCUACAACAACCCCAAACAAAGUUUAAAGUUCACUCAGGGAAAGGAACAAAGCAACGCAGACUGGACUACAACUCAAGAAGCUACAUUGUAUGAUAAAGACUUGCUAAGAAGGGGAAAACGUGGCCAAACUUUGGUACUGUAUACGUAUGCAGGUGUGGUGUGAGCAAAUACUUGUGCAACCACACCAGAACGCAUUCCGAGCUCAAACCUGGGACACCUGACACCGUUACUUCGGAAUGUGUGUCAGGUACAAACAACAAGCGAGUGGACGAUUCACCAAGUGGGACCAGCUUUUGUGAUAGAAUAGAACGUCCAGUUGACCGCGCCGUCACUGUGUCCACCUACUGACCGCUGGCCGUGACGAGAUCAUUAUAAAGCGGUCACCUCAUAGAUAGAGUCCACACUGUUUGUCUUACAACCGUGCUUAUGUGUUUAAACGAAUUAAUGGUUAGCUAGAGUACAAUGUUCAUGUAUACCUAUCCGAGUCGUGGGACUUGUGCAGAGGUGACCCUCUUAAACUAGACUCACAGGGGCUGUUUAUAUGGCUGUUUACUUUGCUGCAAUUUAGCUGUGUCCAAAACAUGUGCGUUUGUAUGCAGAAGUAAGUUUAAGAAGCAUUCUUCGGCCUAGGAAAAUACUAAGUAUGUUUUGUGUUCUGGCGACCCUAGCAAAAAUCUGACCACUAGCUUUCUUUUGAGGGGGGAGGGGGUAAGGUGUGUCGCUAGCAAGAGACUACAGAUUUUCCACUGGUACAGGUGAAUGAUAAAAACCUUGUAAAAUCACUUUCCAACAAGUUUUCCUCAUCAUAAUAGUCGAAUUGAAAUAUGAUGCUGAAAAUACUAAUGUUCAGCUGCAUUUCAGUUUUGCAUUGUCAAAAUGUACAUGUUGUGUUACAUCUAUUGAAAUCUUUUUAAGAAAUUGCACUUUACCAAAACCUUUCUCUUUGAAAGUAACAUGAAACACAACAUUUCUUUUCUUAGGCCUUAUUACCACUGUUUGCUUUUGCGAUCGGCUUACGGACUUCUGUUAUUACCACUACUGAGAAAUUUGCAUAUCUGUAAUUUGCGUAUUUGGGAAGUAGGAGUAGAUUACUGUGUUUGUUAUGGUAAUUAGCUUGCGCUACAGGUGACUUCUGUAAUUACAGUUUGUUUUCCUACCUGGAAUGGUUGUUAAUGUUUCAUUAAUAGGGUGGAAAGGUGCUUGGAAUUCCACUACAUACGAGGGGUGAUCGAUAAAAAGGUGCAGAAGUGAAAUUUGGGGGCGUUAUUACAUACUAUAACCCCUUCAUAAAUGUCUACCAAAAUUCAAAUUAUUGUGAUCAUUAACUUUGCAUGCAGGCGACACUCAGUAACGUUAGGUGAGUGAGAAGGUAAUAAACGUGGACAAUUGAGCUGUGACCUGAGGUGCGCGGGUCAACUUGCUCUGCUGAAAGUCAGAUACCCGCUUCUUUCUAGUUGUAAUAAGAGGGGAUUCUUCGUCAAAACAUUUUUAAAAUGUCUUCGUAGAUUUCAUGGCAUAGGGAACCCGACCCACACAACUCACCCUUGUUUUUCUCGUCUCUUACCCACUGAUUUUAAAGAGAAUGCCCACUGGAAAGCAAUGACGACAAUGAUUUGAAAGUUUGUGCAUAUUUAAAAAGACUAUGCACUACAUAAUCAUUACCCGAAAUCUGAGAUUAACACCUUAUUUCUGGGUGAGACCAAUCCUUGGUGAGACCGAAAACUUCUUGAUCACACUUCGUUGUCUCAUUUCUAAUGAAUAUGCCCCAUGUUUAAUCCACUAUGUAUAAAUGCAGCCAUGUUAAUUAUAUAUCUUUGCUAACCGCUAAAUACACAAUCAAUAUACAACACGCUAUUGUAAGAAUAAUGAAUACAUUCUCUUACAGCACAGUAAAUAUAUGUUUACGAGAGAAGAAGAAUAUACCAUUAGCUUUGUUUGAAGUCGCGUAUCCAUUGUGUCACACAACAUUGUACCAUUGUGAAUAAAUUACUUGGUACAGCUCAUUAAAAA